GAUGAACGUUGGCGGCGUGCCUAAUACAUGCAAGUCGAACGGAGAUUGUAGCAAUACGGUCUCAGUGGCGAACGGGUGAGUAACGCGCUGGUGACCUGCCCCGAAGUGUGGAAUAACAGAUCGAAAGAGCUGCUAAUACCGCAUAAUAUCCAGAAGAUUAGAUGCUUUUGGAUUAAAGGAUUUAUUCGCUUCGGGAGGGGCCUGCGUCCCAUCAGCUAGUUGGUAAGGUAAAGGCUUACCAAGGCGAUGACGGGUAGGGGACCUGAGAGGGUGGCCCCCGACAAGUGGAACUAGAAACACGGUCCAUACACCUACGGGUGGCAGCAGUAGGGAAUAUUAGUAAUGGGCGAAAGCCUGAACUAGCAACGCCGCGUGUGCGAAGAAGGCCUUCGGGUUGUAAAGCACUUUUUGUAGAGGAUGAGGAAGGACGGUACGUCUCAGAAUAAGUCUCGGCUAACUACGUG
Molecule: ribosomal RNA, 464 nt
Filed under: uncultured bacterium
Lineage: Bacteria
Description: bacterial SSU rRNA
Rfam family: Bacterial small subunit ribosomal RNA
Source: RNAcentral